CCUGAUCCAGCAUGCCGCGUGAGUGAUGAAGGCCUUAGGGUUGUAAAGCUCUUUUACCAGGGAUGAUAAUGACAGUACCUGGAGAAUAAGCUCCGGCUAACUCCGUGCCAGCAGCCGCGGUAAUACGGAGGGAGCUAGCGUUGUUCGGAAUUACUGGGCGUAAAGCGCGCGUAGGCGGUUACUCAAGUCAGAGGUGAAAGCCCGGGGCUCAACCCCGGAACUGCCUUUGAAACUAGGUGACUAGAAUCUUGGAGAGGUCAGUGGAAUUCCGAGUGUAGAGGUGAAAUUCGUAGAUAUUCGGAAGAACACCAGUGGCGAAGGCGACUGACUGGACAAGUAUUGACGCUGAGGUGCGAAAGCGUGGGGAGCAAACAGGAUUAGAU
Molecule: ribosomal RNA, 383 nt
Filed under: Novosphingobium sp. KG
Lineage: Bacteria; Pseudomonadati; Pseudomonadota; Alphaproteobacteria; Sphingomonadales; Sphingomonadaceae
Description: bacterial SSU rRNA
Rfam family: Bacterial small subunit ribosomal RNA
Source: RNAcentral